UACAGAGGGUGCAAGCGUUGUCCGGAAUUAUUGGGCGUAAAGAGCUUGUAGGCGGUUUGUCGCGUCUGCCGUGAAAAUCCGAGGCUCAACCUCGGACUUGCGGUGGGUACGGGCAGACUAGAGUGUGGUAGGGGAGACUGGAAUUCCUGGUGUAGCGGUGAAAUGCGCAGAUAUCAGGAGGAACACCGAUGGCGAAGGCAGGUCUCUGGGCAUUAACUGACGCUGAGGAGCGAAAGCAUGGGGAGCGAACAGGA
This 254-nucleotide ribosomal RNA is filed under the name uncultured bacterium. Its description in RNAcentral is "partial 16S ribosomal RNA". It matches the Rfam family "Bacterial small subunit ribosomal RNA", at positions 524 to 777 of the family's 1533-position model. The record is from RNAcentral.